UACGGAGGAUGCGAGCGUUAUCCGGAUUUAUUGGGUUUAAAGGGUGCGCAGGCGGCACGGCAAGCCGGCGGUCAAAUCGCGGGGCUCAACCCCGCCCAGCCGUCGGAACUGCCGGGCUAGAGUGGGCGAGAAGUGCGCGGAAUGCGUGGUGUAGCGGUGAAAUGCAUAGAUAUCACGCAGAACUCCGAUUGCGAAGGCAGCGCACCGGCGCCCUACUGACGCUCAGGCACGAAAGCGUGGGUAUUGAACAGG
Molecule: ribosomal RNA, 252 nt
Filed under: uncultured bacterium
Lineage: Bacteria
Description: partial 16S ribosomal RNA
Rfam family: Bacterial small subunit ribosomal RNA
Source: RNAcentral